Molecule: ribosomal RNA, 236 nt
Filed under: uncultured fungus
Lineage: Eukaryota; Fungi
Description: partial 18S ribosomal RNA
Rfam family: Eukaryotic small subunit ribosomal RNA
Source: RNAcentral
AAGAUUAAGCCAUGCAUGUCUAAGUAUAAACACCUUUAUACAGUGAAACUGCGAAUGGCUCAUUAAAUCAGUUAUAGUUUAUUUGAUAGUACCUCACUACAUGGAUAACCGUAGUAAUUCUAGAGCUAAUACGUGCUAAAAAACCCGACUUUACGGAAGGGUUGUAUUUAUUAGAUAAAAACCAAUGCGGUCUCGGCCGGUCAUUUGGUGAUUCAUAAUAACUUUGCGAAUCGUAU